CGAGGGAAAGUAUAAAGUUGUACAGUGGGUUUGGGACUCAUUAGUCCCUGGUGGCAGGGUCUCUCGU
Molecule: transfer RNA, 67 nt
Filed under: Mimachlamys nobilis (noble scallop)
Lineage: Eukaryota; Metazoa; Mollusca; Bivalvia; Pectinida; Pectinidae
Description: tRNA-Pro
Source: RNAcentral